UUCUACAGCCAUGCCACCUUGAAUGUGUCCGAUCUCGUCUGAUUUCAGAAGCUAAGCAGGUUGGGCCUGGUUAGUACUUGGAUGGGAGACCACCUAGGAAUACCAGGUGCUGUAGGUG
RNAcentral lists this ribosomal RNA (118 nucleotides) under Pteropus alecto (black flying fox). Lineage: Eukaryota; Metazoa; Chordata; Mammalia; Chiroptera; Pteropodidae. RNAcentral also lists the same sequence under 1 other name. The record is from RNAcentral.